CCUGCCUCUAGGGGCAUUGCCGGUGCCACUGCUCUGUCACAUGUGGGUCAGUAUGUGGCUGGGAAGAGAAAGGCUAUAACUAUAGUGUUCUGACCUAUGGACACUUGAAUAAUUAGUAGCCUAGCAUU
Rattus norvegicus (Norway rat) is the source of this 128-nucleotide small nucleolar RNA. Ensembl annotates it as small nucleolar RNA SNORA17. NCBI's taxonomy places the organism in Eukaryota, Metazoa, Chordata, Mammalia, Rodentia, Muridae. The record is from Ensembl.